This 74-nucleotide transfer RNA is filed under the name Pelecanus crispus (Dalmatian pelican). It matches the Rfam family "tRNA". From Rfam's summary of the family: Transfer RNA (tRNA) molecules are approximately 80 nucleotides in length. Their secondary structure includes four short double-helical elements and three loops (D, anti-codon, and T loops). The record is from Rfam by way of RNAcentral. Lineage: Eukaryota; Metazoa; Chordata; Aves; Pelecaniformes; Pelecanidae.
GUGGGGUUAGCUCAGUUGGUUAGUGUGUGGUGCUAAUAACGCCAAGGUCACAGGUUCAAUCCCUGCUCACUGCA